CCAAUAGCGUAUAUUAAAGUUGUUGCAGUUAAAAAGCUCGUAGUUGAAUUUCGGGAUUGACACAUCGGUCGUGCCCUAAGGGGUAUGAACUGGUGUAGUCAGUUUCUCACCUUCUGGAGAACCGCGAUGUCCUUAAUUGGGUGCCGCGAGGAACCAGGACCUUUACUUUGAAAAAAUUAGAGUGUUUAAAGCAGGCAUUU
This 200-nucleotide ribosomal RNA is filed under the name uncultured Glomus. Its description in RNAcentral is "partial small subunit ribosomal RNA". It matches the Rfam family "Eukaryotic small subunit ribosomal RNA", at positions 591 to 789 of the family's 1831-position model. The record is from RNAcentral. RNAcentral also lists the same sequence under 1 other name. Lineage: Eukaryota; Fungi; Glomeromycota; Glomeromycetes; Glomerales; Glomeraceae.